GGUCCCAGCUCCCAGCUCCCGAGGGCUGCUGGGACAAAGUGCCCACCUCCCAGAGGUUUUCACCAGCUAGCCCCACUGCUACUACUGCUACUGAGCGUGAAAAGCCAUCGUGGCUGGGGCCAGACUGAGCCAGAGGACAUCAGCGUUAGGGAAGACUGGGAUUAGGGCAACCAGAGUGCCAGGAAACCAGGAUGCUUGCAGAAUCACUGAUUCAGGUUUAGGAGAACAAAAACCUGGUAACAGAAGACCUCCGCCUGGCUGAAGGAGGACCGAGGGCAAGGCUCAGACAGAACUCUUGGUCAGAGUCCCACAUCACUGAAGUGCCUUGAGAAACACAGCCCAGAGGAACCCUCAUUGAUCCUAUGGGCUGUGUCUUCCUCCCUGGCCCACCCAGAUAACUUCUGCUGUCGUUCAGCUCCCAAGAGUCAGUCCUGAUUCUCCAUCCCCUCCAUCCCUCAUCACUGGCCCACUGCAAAGAAGUGAGAAGGCAAGUUUAGAGCCAAACUCCCGUCUGAACACCCAGAGAAGCUGGUGCUCCAGGGCUGGGUGUCUCCUUGGCUUGCCACCAACAGUCCUACCAACACCAGGCUGGAGCCACAUUCUGUGCACAGAAGGCCUUGAUUUCUCAGCCACUUCUGGCCCCAGAG
Orcinus orca (killer whale) is the source of this 647-nucleotide long non-coding RNA. RefSeq lists it as uncharacterized. The transcript has 3 exons. NCBI's taxonomy places the organism in Eukaryota, Metazoa, Chordata, Mammalia, Artiodactyla, Delphinidae. The record is from RefSeq and is a predicted model, not a curated record.